CGCGUCCUUAACGGCACCGCCGACCCGUGCUCAGAAUUAUAGCUUACGUCGAAAUUGCUAUGUGUGUAGUUGUAGUUUUUAAUGAACUAAUGUGUCACCUUUUUAACGUAUACUGUCUAAAAAGCGCCCAUUUAAUAUGUUGGUUCACGCACGGUCACUUCUUUUCUGAGGACUACCUCGCAACACGGAGCAUUUUUUAACAAUGCUAUGUGAUUGGCGCUCAUCAGGACCUGAAGGUCCCAGAGUCUGGAGGAAGAGUGGAGAGGAGCAGAAUCCAAGUUUCUUGGAUCCAAGUCCACUGUGAAGUUUCCACAGUCACUGAUGAUUAGGGGUGCCAUGUCAUCUGCUGGUGUUGGUCCACUGUUUUCUCAAGUCGAGAGUCAAUGCAGUGUCUACCAGGAGAUUUUGGAGCACUUCAUUCUUCCAUCUGCUGACAAGCUUUACGGAGAUCCAUCCAUCUUCUACCGCUUACUCCUUUUCAGGGUCCCGGAGAACCUGGAGCCUAUCCCAGGGAGCAUUGGGCACAAGGCGGGGUACACCCUGGACAGGGUGCCCCCUGGACAGGGUGCCAGUGCUUUAUAGAGAUGCUGAUUUCAUUUUCCAGCAGGACAUGUCUCCUGCCCCCAGUGCCAAAACUACUAGUAACUGGUUUGCUGACCAUGGUAUUACUGUGCUUGAUUCGCCAGCCGACUCAUCCUACCUGAACCCCAUAGAGAAUCUAUGAGAGACACCAGACCCAACAAUACAGACAAGCUGAAGGCAAUCAAAGCAACCUGGGCUUCCAGAACACCUCAGCUGUGCCACAGGCUGAUUGCCUCCAUACCACGCCACAUUGAUGCAGAAAUUUGUGCAAAAAGAGCCCCGAUCAAGUAUUGAGUGCAGAAAUUAACAUACAGAAAUAUCGACCCUGAAAAGUAUUAUAAAUUAUUUAUUCUAAUAUUUUGACGUACUGGAUUUUUGAUUUCCAUGAGCUGUAAGAUGUAAACAUCAAGAUUGAAAAAAAAAAAAGUCUUGAAAUGUGAAGUUCUCCACGAUAUUCAAAUUUUUUGAGAUGCACCUGCUCUCCGAUAUCAAUCUGCUCCUUUCACCGCACAUUGCAUGUACCCCAUCCAUUGUCAGUCCAGUAUGUAUAUCCCAAGGCAAUUUAAUUUCCUUUACAGAUUUUUCUACUUGUUGACAUUCGCAAAUGCUUGCCUUUUAUCAGGGCACAGCACAUUGCUAAUUUUAAGCAUACACUUCUUCAGAAAAUCACCCUCUGUGUAUGGUCAGCCUGAUUGAGCUAUUUCUUCAGCCACGAUAAAAGUGGGUUUUAUGGCUACAUCACUCUGUGCAUUUGCUUUAGAAAACAUUGUUUGCUGUUGUACAAGGCCUUUCUUUAUCUCUACCAACUUCUGUUACUUCUUCUGUCUAUCCAAGUCCCCAUAUUUGUCACGGUGUUUUGUAUCAUAAUGAUGUCUUCUGUUAUAUUCUUUAAUUUGCCAGAGUCUCCUGGCAAACGAGACAGACAGGUUUUUCUUUAUGGUCGACAAAUAAGUAUUCCAACUCCCACCUGUCAUGGAAUGCCCUACCUUCACGAUCAACUUUGUAUGGAAUUAUAACAGUGCCAAAUGUCCUCAAGGCAAAAUGGCAUGUUGAAUUACAUAAAUUGAAUAAAAAACGUAUCGCAAUAACAACACUUGAAUUAGUUUACUCUGCAAUUCAUUGGGCUUGUAUAUUUAGUUUGAAAAUGAAAUUCCAGCAUUCAAAUUUCAAUGCACACACAUUCACCUUCCUAAAAUACAGUUCCAAAAUAUUCAGUUGUUAAAAUACCAUCUUCAUUAUUCGUCAGGUAGUAUUUCAACACAUUAUUUUUCAACCUCACAAAUUCAUGCUGCAAAAAUUCGGGUCUUAAAAUUCAAGUCUUCACAUCCGGGUCUCCAGGAAGAGCAAUAUAUUGCUGAUACUAUUGUAACAUGUUACUCUGGGCCGGCCUCAAACUCUGAUGGUUGUGAGUAGUGGUGGGAUUGUGCAGACAAGCCACAAGAGAAGAUGAACCUAGCGUACUGGCAUAAAGUUUGUUUGACGUUGGACAUUCGAUAUUGGCAGAUAUGCGCAAAUUAAGGGACCGUCUCUAAAGUUAGAUCCAACAUUGGUAUACACAUUUCUAACUUCAAUAGCAUUUGAAGGGAAUGACUUACAGUCAUAUAACCAACUGUAAAGUGUUCAUUUAGGUGUCAGCUAUAACACGUUUUAGAUUUUUGAUAUUUAAUUAAAUAAACUGUCAAAUCAUAUCUAAACAUUGUGAUGUUUUUAUACCAUAUGGACAUGUGCACAAAAUAUACCAUAGUUUAAAGCUCAAUAGCAUUUGAAGAGAAUGACUUGGUCAUAAAAGCAACUGUUUAAUAUAUAGUGAUAUAUUUGUUGUGGAGUGAGGGGGUCCUUGUGGAUUGUUCGAAAUAUGCUAGGGGUCCAGAGCUCACAAAAGGUUGAGUACCAAUGGUCUAGUGUAUGAAUUUUAGAAGGGUAGUAUCGUCUCAAAUGGAACACAUUAGUUUUUUAUUAACUGGAAGUAUCCUUCCGCUUCCUAGUCCGUGGCACAUGACUGCAUACGCACGUAAUGCGACACUGAUAGCUUUAGCAGACACCCAGAGUCACCGACAUGACUUUCUUCAGUUUACUGUUUGUCAACAUUACCUUUUAUUCCCAACAUGACCUCAGUCACUAUCAGACGGAGGCAUAGUCAUCAAGUGACUGAGGAAGAAAGUGUGUGACCAAAGUCCUUUAAGGCAGGAGAGCAUUUUAUAUUAAACACCCUGAAGAUCAAACUUUAUAAAGUGGAGUUUGUGUAGUGUUGAAGCACGACAGUGGUGCACGAGCACAAACCUAUGUUUGUAUCCCAAAUGCUCCACUGUGUGCAAGGGGCAGGGGAAACUGUUGCAAGUUGCUUAAAAAGUUUAGUUUAAUUCCAGUUUAUUGUCAUUAUAUGGUGUAUUUGCAUGCUUGCAGUGUAACUUCUGUCAUUUAUUAUAACUAAAGUGAUCUGUUAGUAAUGAGGCUGUGUUGCUCCUCAAUUGCAGUGGGAGCGCAAGUAAGAUCUGUAAUGUCUAAUUAAAACACUAUGAUCAAAAGUAAAACAAUAUGCCUAAAGGCAGUGAGUAACAGAAACCAUAAGGUGCAGUGAAGGGUAGUUUUUAUUACUACUUUAGGACUGUAGUUUAAUUCAGUGCUUUUUGUGCAUCCAUAAAAAGGAAUGCAUACAGUGCAUCCGGAAAGUAUUCACAGCGCUUAACUUUUUCCACAUUUUAUUAUGUUACAGCCUUAUUCCAAUAUGGAUUAAAUUAUUUUUUUUCUCAAAAUUCUACAAACAAUACCCCAUAAUGACCAUGUGAAAGAAGUUUGUUUGAAAUCUUUGCAAAUUUAAUUUAUCUUUGCAAAUUUAGCUCCGCCCCGACUCGUUGAGAGGAAAGCUAAUAUCGUUUUCCGGUGUGCAACCGAUGCGAUCGUUCAUUUCAAACAAAGCGAGGAAACGCCUGGAAUUUGGCGAAGCACCUGAAAGAUGGUCCUAUAUUAUGUUUGUUGGCAUUGGCAGCUGGCAUUGUGGCCGUGAAACCAGGCUAACGUUAUGCUCCAUGUAAUGUUUGCGAUAGCCAGAUAUUUGUUAACAACGCUAACGCAUUACAAUGUUAUAAACUACCUCCUAAUUGACCACCAUGCAUCGCCAUUCAGCCCAUGUUCUGUCGGCAAAAUGUAGCCUAAUGUCACUUAUAAUUAUUCAAAUGUUCAUGCUUUUAAUAAAUCUUUUUGGCCUACCACCAUAUCAGUGAAUUUAAACUAAUGCUUGCAUUCAGAGUAUAAGGUGUGUGUGUGUGUGUGUGUGUGUGUGUGUGUGCGUUUAGGAGUGCACCUCCACUCAUUGUUAGACAGUGUUUGAUAACUAAAAUACCCCCC
Long non-coding RNA from Ictalurus punctatus (channel catfish), 3927 nucleotides. NCBI's taxonomy places the organism in Eukaryota, Metazoa, Chordata, Actinopteri, Siluriformes, Ictaluridae. The record is from Ensembl.